This 468-nucleotide ribosomal RNA is filed under the name uncultured bacterium. RNAcentral describes it as "partial 16S ribosomal RNA". It matches the Rfam family "Bacterial small subunit ribosomal RNA", at positions 28 to 507 of the family's 1533-position model. The record is from RNAcentral.
GACGAACGCUGGCGGCGUGCUUAACACAUGCAAGUCGAACGGAAAGGCCCUGCUUUUGUGGGGUGCUCGAGUGGCGAACGGGUGAGUAACACGUGAGUAACCUGCACUUGACUUUGGGAUAACUUCAGGAAACUGGGGCUAAUACCGGAUAGGAGCUCCUGCUGCAUGGUGGGGGUUGGAAAGUUUCGGCGGUUGGGGAUGGACCCGCGGCUUAUCAGCUUGUUGGUGGGGUAGUGGCUUACCAAGGCUUUGACGGGUAGCCGGCCUGAGCGGGUGACCGGCCACAUUGGGACUGAGAUACGGCCCAGACUCCUACGGGAGGCAGCAGUGGGGUAUAUUGCACAAUGGGCGGAAGCCUGAUGCAGCAACGCCGCGUGCGGGAUGACGGCCUUCGGGUUGUAAACCGCUUUCGCCUGUGACGAAGCGUGAGUGACGGUAAUGGGUAAAGAAGCACCGGCUAACUACGUG